Molecule: long non-coding RNA, 1064 nt
Organism: Armigeres subalbatus
Lineage: Eukaryota; Metazoa; Arthropoda; Insecta; Diptera; Culicidae
Exons: 4
Source: RefSeq, a predicted model, not a curated record
CUCAACUUUGACAGUCAACUUCUGGUGCUGCAUCGUAAACAAAGAAUGGAAUUAUAUUUACACGAAGUGUCUUUCAUUGCGGAAGAAUCUGAUUGUAUCCAAGCGGUGGAGCAGUGAAUAAGUGUUUCCAUAAUCAUGUUUUUACCGAUUACAACUUUGGUUGGAGGUCACGGACUACAGACGGACGAGCACUUAGCAGGUUCCACUACGUUCUACAAGGAAAACAGAACUCUACAAAGGGCAUGGAUAUAUCUGGACGAAUCAUUCUCGCCACGCAACUACCCACUUGUAACGAAUCCAUCUAAAGUUCUUCCGGAAUUGCAUUGACGGUGGAUUCCAAAUUAUUUAGUAUGAAGCUGGCAAUGAUUAGGUGACGAAAUUCUCAUCCACCGAUAGCAAGUCCAGCGCCGAUUACAUAAAGAUGUUUAACAUUAGCGUCACAUACAUUACAAAUAGGAGAAGACCUGCAACCAAUCAGUUAUUUUUCAUUAAAGUUUAAUUUAAUAUGAUUUGAAUUUAAUUUUAAAUUAAUGUAUUCUUUUUGAACUUUAAUUCAAUUUAAUUUAAUUAUGUUUAAUUUCUAUUCAAUUUUAACUAAAUUUUAAUUUUACAAAUUCUAUUUUGUUUUUUUAAUUUAAAUUUUAAGUGUAACGAUAGAAAAUUGUUAAAUUGUUUGCUUGUUUGUUGUUAUAAUUUGUUUGUUUGUUGUUAUAAGUAGUAAUGAGCUCAGUUCGAGUACGAUAUUUCUCCAAGUCGAGCUGAGUUGUGACUGCCAAUUGUUGAUUCCGAAAUACGUUUUACAAUGAUUAUAAUAAUAAUAACAAAUUGAAACUCAAUUUAAAAUUGAAUAUAGAAUAUAAAAUCAAAAUUUAAACAAACUAAAAUAAUAUUGCAUCAUCUGUAUUUCACAAUCUUCAUUGUAUUAAUGUAUAUGUUUUUCUUUACCAAUAUUAGAAUUAAUGUAACAAUUUAAGAUAGUAAAAUUAUGUCAUAUUGAAAUAUAUUUGAUUUUAACAGCAAUAUUGUUAGAGCUUCUAUAGUGGAAAGCCUCCACUUGCCAUGUA